Molecule: ribosomal RNA, 467 nt
Filed under: uncultured bacterium
Lineage: Bacteria
Description: partial 16S ribosomal RNA
Rfam family: Bacterial small subunit ribosomal RNA
Source: RNAcentral
ACGAACGCUGGCGGCGCGCCUAACACCUGCAAGUCGAACGGAGCUGAGAGAAGCUUGCUUUUCUUAGCUUAGUGGCGAACGGGUGAGUAACGCGUGAGUAACCUGCCCUGGAGUGGGGGACAACAGUUGGAAACGACUGCUAAUACCGCAUAAGCCCACGAUCCGGCAUCGGAUUGAGGGAAAAGGAUUUAUUCGCUUCAGGAUGGACUCGCGUCCAAUUAGCUAGUUGGUGAGGUAACGGCCCACCAAGGCGACGAUUGGUAGCCGGACUGAGAGGUUGAACGGCCACAUUGGGACUGAGACACGGCCCAGACUCCUACGGGAGGCAGCAGUGGGGGAUAUUGCACAAUGGGGGAAAACCUGAUGCAGCGACGCCGCGUGGAGGAAGAAGGUUUUCGGAUUGUAAACUCCUGUCGUUAGGGACGAUAAUGACGGUACCUAACAAGAAAGCACCGGCUAACUACGUG